GCCUUCGUGGUGUAGUGGUCAGCACGCUCGACCCGUAACCGAGAGGUUUGUGGUUCGAUUCCCGGUGACGGCG
RNAcentral lists this transfer RNA (73 nucleotides) under Stegodyphus mimosarum. It matches the Rfam family "tRNA". From Rfam's summary of the family: Transfer RNA (tRNA) molecules are approximately 80 nucleotides in length. Their secondary structure includes four short double-helical elements and three loops (D, anti-codon, and T loops). Lineage: Eukaryota; Metazoa; Arthropoda; Arachnida; Araneae; Eresidae. The record is from Rfam by way of RNAcentral.